This is a long non-coding RNA of Scomber japonicus (chub mackerel), 160 nucleotides long. RefSeq lists it as uncharacterized. The record is from RefSeq and is a predicted model, not a curated record. The transcript is spliced from 3 exons. NCBI's taxonomy places the organism in Eukaryota, Metazoa, Chordata, Actinopteri, Scombriformes, Scombridae.
UUCCAUCCUUCUGAAGCUUUCAUCAUUUAGCAUCACUAUGAGAGGUAUUGUAUUGCUGUGUCUGCUGGAAGCAGUAUUUGCUGAUCAUUCGUAUGACUGGGACGGACCUGGCCAUGUAGCACCAGUUACGCCCCCCAACACAGAAUGUAGCAUGGACACG